GACGGAGGGGGCUAGCGUUGUUCGGAAUUACUGGGCGUAAAGAGCGCGUAGGCGGUUUGAUAAGUUGGAAGUGAAAGCCCGGGGCUUAACCUCGGAAUUGCUUUCAAAACUGUCAAUCUAGAGUGUAGUAGGGGAUGAUGGAAUUCCUAGUGUAGAGGUGAAAUUCUUAGAUAUUAGGAGGAACACCGGUGGCGAAGGCGGUCAUCUGGGCUACAACUGACGCUAAUGCGCGAAAGCGUGGGGAGCAAACAGG
This 253-nucleotide ribosomal RNA is filed under the name uncultured Rickettsia sp. RNAcentral's name for it is "partial 16S ribosomal RNA". It matches the Rfam family "Bacterial small subunit ribosomal RNA", at positions 524 to 776 of the family's 1533-position model. Lineage: Bacteria; Pseudomonadati; Pseudomonadota; Alphaproteobacteria; Rickettsiales; Rickettsiaceae. The record is from RNAcentral.